CGCCCGCCGCCCGAUUGCCGACCCU
Molecule: small nuclear RNA, 25 nt
Filed under: Arabidopsis thaliana (thale cress)
Lineage: Eukaryota; Viridiplantae; Streptophyta; Magnoliopsida; Brassicales; Brassicaceae
Description: snRNA_17145
Source: RNAcentral